UGGUCACUCAUUCGUCCUCCCCUUUUCCUUCGCACGUACGUCUCCUUCCCCCCUCUUCCUUCACAGGCACGUAUUCUCCUCCCCUCUUCUGCUUGUUCCCCUUCCUCCUCCGGCUGCAUCCUCGCGACGCAGCAGUUCGCCCUUCUCCCUCGUUAGCCGCCGCUGGGUCUUCCCACUGGAGAUGGAGGAGUAGGGGGUUCUGCCAGAUCCGAGGCGUGUGGACGUGGCGGCGAGCGUCUCCAACAGCGGCGGCGACCUGCAGACAAAGGGCGGCGGGGAGCGGCGCCUCCACCUCUCUCCUCCUCAUCUCCUUGCGCGCAGUGAGUGCUUUGGGGUUUCUGUUGGGACAAGGAGAGGAUCUGUGAUGCGCACAUCACUAGGUUGCACCACUACCCAAGCGACGGCUUCGCAGAUGAGCUGCUGGAGAUCGCCAAGGCCACCUGGGGCAAAGAAACAGUGAGGUUCCAUCCUUCCUUCUUCAAAAUUCAUCUCAUGUUUUACCUUCUUGAUUUCUCCAACAUCACUUGUGUGGAUGCCCAUAGGUAACAGAAAGCCACGAGUGGUCAGGACAAACAAAUGACCUGUGGAGCUUCAUAUUCAGUUAUUUGUUAGCUAUUUGCUUGCUUCAAAUGUCUACAUGCUAUAGGAAUUAAGGUUCUGCUGUCUCUAUUUUCACAGAUUUUAUUGUAUAUACAUGCAGAUAACUUCAGCAUGAGAGCAAGAGGUUGGAGCAGAUGCAACACAUUCAGUUGCUCCUGGACUGUAUAUAUUCAUGUUUUUGUAGGUAAUUGUUCACCUUUUAGUCAAUUUCCUUAUAGUUGUAGUUCAGAACUUCAGACACAACUUUCCAUGUUGUCAACCAGAAAAAAAAGCAAUUUAUUGGAACCAUUAGAUUUAUUAGUAGAUGUAGUCGUUAUAUUUCUACAGGGGAUGUACUAAAGCAAAGAAACCCAUCCCUUUUAAUUCAUGUAAAGUUCAUGUAUGUAAUGAGGUGGCACUCUUAAAGGGUGAAAAUUAUGCAAUAUUAUCCCCUUCCUUUUCUCAGUACUAAAUAUUUUUUGCGGUCUGUACUUUGCCAAUGAAUCUCAAAUUCCAAUACUCGGCUAUAACCAUUGUCACUACACUCAUAUGAAUGGUUUACAAAUUACAUGUUUGCAGAAUUUUCAGUCCAGUUGUUUUUCGACUUAGCAGAAUUAAUAUGUUGAUGGAAGGGGAAGCCAUCAAUUUCGGGGAAAAUGCCCACAGGGACAACACCAUUAGGCAUGGUGCUGACACUACAUGUUAUGAAGGAUAUAAAGUGGUCAGGAUCAACAAAAAACCUGCUGAGCUUCAUAUUCAGCUAUUUAUUAGCUACUUGUGUGCUUCAAAUGUCUACAUACUAUAGACUAUUUCGUAGAUUUUAUUGUAUACAUGCAGAUAACUUAAUCAAUUUGUUGGACAAUGAACAUGUUUUAAGAAGAAAAGUGGAUAUUAAGGUGUGCAUACAAAAACGCUGCUAGAUUCAGGGUAGAAGCACAAAUUGCAGAGAUGAUUUAUGACAUGUGAUUAUGUUUAAUAGCUUAAGGAUGGCGAUUAUAUGUCUAUUUCUAUACUGUCACGCAGGUGAGCGUCUCUCUUGUGUCCCUCUUGCCACCCGCUUUGUGCUAUUCAUAUGUUUCUUUUCUAUAUCUAGAACUGCUCUUUCGUUUGUGUUUGUCAAGGUUUGACAUGCUUGUGGUGGUUAAUCUCUGUAGGCUUUCUUUGACCUGGAGAAUGGCAACCAGGAGCUCAAGAGUGACAAGGACGUCUAUAUCAACACUUCAAUGGGCCGACGGCGUGCGGUAGACGUACGAGCUCCUCAUCUACAUUGACCUCCACUACGGCUCACGCGGCGCCAACGCCAAGCAGGAGGAGAAGGUGGGCUGAAUGGAAUGGAAAGUACAGAGAUGAUAUUCGAAGGUUCAUCAAGGCCUUCUUGAUUUAUAAUUUUCUUCCACCUCGUUGGUAUUGCUUUCAUACCAGCCACAGAGUUCUGCAUUUAAACAGAGGAGUGAACAUUUUUAUAUACUGUGUGCUCAUGACCUUUGUAUGGGUGAAUAGUCAAAUUUCAUAUGGAGAACAGUUCAUUGUUGGAAGAAGUAGCUGGUGCUGAAAGGAUCUCCAGGAGCCGAUGCAUCUCUUCAUAUUUUUGUGUACUACAAGUAGUUGGGGGCCUGCUAAAUCUCAGAGAAGGCUCUAUCUCAGAGAAGGCUCUAUCUAGCAGCUGCUGGAAUCCUUGUUCUCUAUCUUCCAUUUUUACAUCUAUAUUUUCAUAUUUGACACCUCAAAUUUCAAAUAACUAUAAUUUGGUAUUUGACCUGCA
Long non-coding RNA from Triticum dicoccoides, 2341 nucleotides. RefSeq lists it as uncharacterized. The record is from RefSeq and is a predicted model, not a curated record. The transcript has 4 exons. Lineage: Eukaryota; Viridiplantae; Streptophyta; Magnoliopsida; Poales; Poaceae.